Molecule: ribosomal RNA, 477 nt
Filed under: uncultured bacterium
Lineage: Bacteria
Description: bacterial SSU rRNA
Rfam family: Bacterial small subunit ribosomal RNA
Source: RNAcentral
CAGGACGAACGCUGGCGGCGUGCCUAACACAUGCAAGUCGAGCGAGGAGAUUCCUUCGGGAUGAUCCUAGCGGCGGACGGGUGAGUAACACGUGGGCAACCUGCCUCAUAGAGAGGAAUAGCCUUCCGAAAGGGAGAUUAAUACCUCAUAACAUUGCAGUUUCGCAUGGAACAGCAAUUAAAGGAGCAAUCCGCUAUGAGAUGGGCCCGCGGCGCAUUAGCUAGUUGGUGAGGUAACGGCUCACCAAGGCGACGAUGCGUAGCCGACCUGAGAGGGUGAUCGGCCACAUUGGGACUGAGACACGGCCCAGACUCCUACGGGAGGCAGCAGUGGGGAAUAUUGCACAAUGGGGGAAACCCUGAUGCAAGCAACGCCGCGUGAGUGAUGACGGCCUUCGGGUUGUAAAGCUCUGUCUUCAGGGACGAUAAUGACGGUACCUGAGGAGGAAGCCACGGCUAACUACGUGCCAGCAGCCGC